RNAcentral lists this unclassified non-coding RNA (972 nucleotides) under Hevea brasiliensis (rubber tree). Lineage: Eukaryota; Viridiplantae; Streptophyta; Magnoliopsida; Malpighiales; Euphorbiaceae. The record is from RNAcentral.
UCUGAUUCCAAAAUGGUUGUACUUUUCAUCUCCUCUGUAUCUUUAGUGUUCAUAUUUCCUAUGGCAGUGUUCUUGAUGAGGCUGGAAGAAGGAGAGAAUUUCCUUGAUGUGCUUAACCCAUGCACCAAGAAGGAGACUGCAGCACUAGGGGAUUCUAACAUUCGAAACUUGAAGCGUGGAGAGAUAUUGCAACUGGAGAGGAAGGGUUACUUUAGAUGUGAUGUUCCUUUUAUCAGACCUUCAAAGCCUAUAGUUCUGUUUGCAAUUCCAGAUGGCAGGCAGGCAACCUCAUCAAAGUAGACCUUGACAUUUGACUAAACUAUUUUCUGGUUCUGAGAAGUUGAAGUUAAACUUCAUGUUCUUCUUGAUUAUAUGGGGAAGAAUUGGAGUUUUCAACUCACUUCCUCUAGUGUGUGGACAUGCAAAUUUUUAUGGAAAUUUUUGAUAAAUCUCCUACCUUAUUCAUGUUUCUAUACGUGUUAUGAAUUAACGUAUGCAUUUUUGUAACUGAACCAAGGUGUCACUUGCACUGCAUGAGAGUAGUGUCCAUAUUGAAAGAACAUAUUAAUGUAGAAAAAUCUGAAGCGGUACAAUGAAGCAGGGGUGAGAAGAGACAAAAAUUAGUCGUUCUUAUUGAAUGUAGGAAUGUUUUGGAUCUGGAUGGAUGUGUUCUUUACAUUCUCGUACAUCUUUAAUUGGUAAUCUCUGGAUUGAUGUAGCCAUACUCUGUCUGCAUUUUUGCUAGCUCCUGUCAUAUUCUUAGAAGAAAUUCAUUGAAGCUUUCUGCUCGUAGAUUGGAGGGAUUUGGUGCUCAUUGUUGUCGAUGUUGACCUGUACUACCAUAGGUAAGAUGUCACCUCGGACAGCUUGGCCAACUUUCUUCUAAGCAUGUCUCUAAAUGCAUGAACCCAUCAAACUCUUUCCUCGAUAAUCAUGUACACUUGAAUUCACCACAUAUAAUGAUUAUAUCAG